AUGAAACUAACCCAGACUGACGUUGUUUUCAACAGAACUACCAUGGUGUUGCUUUUGUGCAGAAAUAAAAGUUCUCGGAUUGGAACGGAACUUUUUGGAGAAUUUUUAUACAAUAAAAGAAAAAUACUGGAGCCAAGAACCACCAGAGGGGGGGGUCCCUGGGGGAGCACAACCCACCAGGGCACGGCCCCCGUCCUGUCAUGCCUAUGUGGGUUGUGCCCACCUGGUGGCCCCGCAGACCCUGAUUCCAACUCUAUAAAAUCCUAUUUUUGGAGAAAAAACCAGGGAGAAAGAAUUAUCGCAUUUCACAAGACGGAACCGCCGCCACCUCAUGUUCUUCAUCAUGAGGCCAGAUCUGGAGUCCGCUUGGGGCUCCGGAGAGGGGGAUCUUCGAUCUUCAUCAUCACCGACCCUUCUCCAUCGCCAAUUCCAUGA
RNAcentral lists this ribosomal RNA (435 nucleotides) under Triticum aestivum (bread wheat). RNAcentral's name for it is "partial small subunit ribosomal RNA". The record is from RNAcentral. Lineage: Eukaryota; Viridiplantae; Streptophyta; Magnoliopsida; Poales; Poaceae.